CAAUUCCAACAUUCCCUACGAACCCUUAUCUACAACUGAAUAAUUCUAUGAUACUAUAGAAGAUAUAAUGCUAAAACUAGUAACAAGAAGUUGACCUUCUCCAAAAUGCAAGCAAAAACCUAAUCGGACCAACCAUUGGUUAAUAACGCCUAUGAACUAAAUAUAGUAACUCACUCUAGUAAACCCUAUAAAUAAAAGCGUUAACCUUACACAAGAGCAUUUCUGGAAAGAUUAAAAGAAAAAGAAGGAACUCGGCAAAUCCAGGCCUCGCCUGUUUACCAAAAACAUCGCCUCUUGACUCAUAAGAGGUCCAGCCUGCCCAGUGAUACUAUUAAACGGCCGCGGUACCCUAACCGUGCGAAGGUAGCAUAAUAACUUGUUCUUUAAAUGGGGACUAGCAUGAACGGCAUCACGAGGGUCUCACUGUCUCCUUUUUCUAAUCAGUGAAACUGAUCUCCCCGUGAAGAAGCGGGGAUAAAAAUAUAAGACGAGAAGACCCCAUGGAGCUUUAAACCCAAUAGACACCUCUGACUAAUCUAACCCAAAACACUUCUUAAGUUCUGUCUAUUGGUUUUAGGUUGGGGUGACCACGGAGUACAAUAAAUCCUCCAUGACGUACGGGACUUCCCUCUUAUCCUUGAACCACAUUUCUAAGAAUCAACAAAUUGACGUUUGAUGAUCCAAUAUAUUGAUCAACGGACCAAGUUACCCUGGGGAUAACAGCGCAAUCCAUUUUACCUAUCGCCAAAUGGGUUUACGACCUCGAUGUUGGA
This 773-nucleotide ribosomal RNA is filed under the name Fejervarya limnocharis (Boie's wart frog). RNAcentral describes it as "partial 16S ribosomal RNA". It matches the Rfam family "Bacterial large subunit ribosomal RNA", at positions 1532 to 2536 of the family's 2925-position model. The record is from RNAcentral. Lineage: Eukaryota; Metazoa; Chordata; Amphibia; Anura; Dicroglossidae.